CCUACGGGAUGCAGCAGUGGGGAAUAUUGGACAAUGGGCGCAAGCCUGAUCCAGUCAUACCGCGUGGGUGAAGAAGGCCUUCGGGUUGUAAAGCCCUUUUGUUGGGAAAGAAAUCCUGUCGAUUAAUACUCGGUGGGGAUGACGGUACCCAAAGAAUAAGCACCGGCUAACUUCGUGCCAGCAGCCGCGGUAAUACGAAGGGUGCAAGCGUUACUCGGAAUUACUGGGCGUAAAGCGUGCGUAGGUGGUGGUUUAAGUCUGCUGUGAAAGCCCUGGACUCAACCUGGGAAUUGCAGUGGAUACUGGAUCACUAGAGUGUGGUAGAGGGAUGCGGAAUUUCUGGUGUAGCAGUGAAAUGCGUAGAGAUCAGAAGGAACAUCCGUGGCGAAGGCGGCAUCCUGGGCCAACAUUGACACUGAGGCACGAAAGCGUGGGGAGCAAACAGGAUUAGAUACCCCCGUAGUC
This 465-nucleotide ribosomal RNA is filed under the name uncultured bacterium. RNAcentral's name for it is "bacterial SSU rRNA". It matches the Rfam family "Bacterial small subunit ribosomal RNA", at positions 338 to 795 of the family's 1533-position model. The record is from RNAcentral.